Molecule: long non-coding RNA, 202 nt
Filed under: Nicotiana benthamiana
Lineage: Eukaryota; Viridiplantae; Streptophyta; Magnoliopsida; Solanales; Solanaceae
Description: long non-coding RNA (NBEN_LNC029291)
Source: RNAcentral
GCCUGCAAUCUCAUCACAGUCAACCCCAGUAACAAUUAUAUCAUCCACAUACACAGCCACCACAACAAGGGAAUCAGGAUUACCUUUUAAGAACAGUGAAUAAUCAUUCAAAGAAUGCCUGUAACCUCUAGAAUUAAGGGCAGAGGACAGCUUAGCAUACCACUGCCUGGAGGCCUGCCUGAGCCCAUACAAAGACUUNNNN